RNAcentral lists this ribosomal RNA (115 nucleotides) under Iodamoeba sp. ZOTU 2906. RNAcentral's name for it is "partial 18S ribosomal RNA". It matches the Rfam family "Eukaryotic small subunit ribosomal RNA", at positions 1681 to 1801 of the family's 1831-position model. The record is from RNAcentral. Lineage: Eukaryota; Evosea; Mastigamoebida; Endamoebidae.
CCUACCGAUUGGAUGAUCCGGUGAAAAUGUUGGAUUUGACUGCACUCUUAUGGGUGCGAUUGGAGAAAAUAUUUGAACCUUAUUAUCUAGAGGAAGGAGAAGUCGUAACAAGGUA